GCCACCGUAGCUCAGUGGUAGAGCACUCCCUUGGUAAGGGAGAGGUCAAGGGUUCAAGUCCCUUUGGUGGCU
RNAcentral lists this transfer RNA (72 nucleotides) under Tepidisphaera sp. RNAcentral describes it as "tRNA-Thr". It matches the Rfam family "tRNA". Rfam says of the family: Transfer RNA (tRNA) molecules are approximately 80 nucleotides in length. Their secondary structure includes four short double-helical elements and three loops (D, anti-codon, and T loops). Further hydrogen bonds mediate the characteristic L-shaped molecular structure. tRNAs have two regions of fundamental functional importance: the anti-codon, which is responsible for specific mRNA codon recognition, and the 3' end, to which the tRNAs corresponding amino acid is attached (by aminoacyl-tRNA synthetases). tRNAs cope with the degeneracy of the genetic code in two manners: having more than one tRNA (with a specific anti-codon) for a particular amino acid; and 'wobble' base-pairing, i.e. permitting non-standard base-pairing at the 3rd anti-codon position. RNAcentral also lists the same sequence under 4 other names. Lineage: Bacteria; Pseudomonadati; Planctomycetota; Phycisphaerae; Tepidisphaerales; Tepidisphaeraceae. The record is from RNAcentral.